UAGAAAGACUUCUGUCCUUGUUUGACCACGAUAAUGGCAGCCGUCUCCCUACACGUAUUCAGUCUGUCAAGAUGUUCUUCUGUGUAGAGGCUAAUUCAGAGUGGAAACCAGGAACUGAUUCAGCUGAUUAUACAUGAUUAGAAUAUAUGGAGCAGUUCAUAAUAAUAGGAUGGAUACGUUUCAUAAUAUCAAUCAUAGUCCUGGGAGGUAAGCGUUACAUUAAGCUUAUUCAACUCAUUCAACUAACAUGCAUCAUGGUUACAUUAAACUUACAUGUAUCAUGGUUAUAACCAUGAUGUUAGUUUAAUCUAUAGAUUUUAAUAACAUGUAUCAUGGUUAUAACCAUGAUGUUAGUUUAAUCUAUAGAUUUAAAGAACAUGUAUCAUGGUUAUAACCACGAUGUUAGUUUAAUCUAUAGAUUUUAAUAACAUGUAUCAUGGUUAUAACCUGACCCUAAACAGACGGGAAUGGAGAUCCUUUGUUGCUGCCCUACAUGCCAGUAGGCAUAAAGGGCAGUCAGUAAGAACCAUGGUGACAUUAGACUAACUAAUGAUAGUGACUGCUGUCCUGACAUGUUACUGUAUUGUUUAUCUCUAUAUAGCAUUGAUGAAACAACUUGAAGAGGUAAGUGUUAUUACUGGUUUGAUACAGAACACAAUAAUAUCUGUGACCCUAGCUGGCAGUGAUGGAGUUAUUAGAUGAUGACCUUGUAAUGAACCCAAUGUUGAUAUUUUAUUUACAUUUUUAUUUUAUAGAAGAAGAAAACACAGAAACAGGAGAGGAAGUUUGAUGAAUUGAAUGAUCUAUAUUGGGAGCUGGUUUGGUUCUACAGCAACUGGUUUAUAAGAUGGAAUCAGUGUCAAGGAGAUAUGAUCUGAUAAUCCGAGGUGUGGGGGUGGUGCAGCUUUAUAUGCCCUCUGUAUAUUUGUAUACAGAGGGCAGUUUUGGUAAUACUUUCUUGGUAAUACUGUCUACCUGGCAGUGGUGAUGAACCCUUAAUGAUGAACCCAAUGUUGAUAUUUUAUUUACAUUUU
This is a long non-coding RNA of Gadus morhua (Atlantic cod), 1034 nucleotides long. RefSeq lists it as uncharacterized. The record is from RefSeq and is a predicted model, not a curated record. The transcript is spliced from 3 exons. NCBI's taxonomy places the organism in Eukaryota, Metazoa, Chordata, Actinopteri, Gadiformes, Gadidae.